RNAcentral lists this ribosomal RNA (1446 nucleotides) under Bactrocera oleae (olive fruit fly). RNAcentral describes it as "bacterial SSU rRNA". The stretch from base 2 to 609 matches the Rfam family "Eukaryotic small subunit ribosomal RNA", at positions 4 to 605 of the family's 1831-position model. The record is from RNAcentral. Lineage: Eukaryota; Metazoa; Arthropoda; Insecta; Diptera; Tephritidae.
UCUGGUUGAUCCUGCCAGUAUUUAUAUGCUUGUCUCAAAGAUUAAGCCAUGCAUGUCUAAGUACAAACAAAUUAAAAGUGAAACCGCAAAAAGCUCAUUACAUCAGUUAUGGUUCCAUAGAUCGUUAACAGUUACUCGGAUAACUGUGGUAAUUCUAGAGCUAAUCGAGGUAAAAUAAGCACGGACCUUUUGGAACGUGUGCUUUUAUUAGGCUAAAACCAAGCGAUCAUUCGAUCGUUAUAUUGGUUGAACUCUAGAUAACUUGCAGAUCGGAUGGUCUCGUACCGACGACAGAUCUUUUAAAUGUCUGCCCUAUCAACUUUUGAUGGUAGUAUCUAUCACUACCAUGGUUGCAACGGAUAACGGGGAAUCAAGAUUCGAUUCCGGAGAGGGAACCUGAGAAAAGGCUACCACAUCUAAGAAAGGCAGCGGGCACGUAAAUGACCCACUCCCAGUUCGGGGAGGUAGUGACGAAAAAUAACAAUACAGGACUCAUAUUCGAUGCCCUGUAAUUGGAAUGAGUACACUUUGAAUCCUUUAACAAGGACCUAUUGGAGGGUAAGUCUGGUGCCAGCAGCUGCGGUAAUGCCAGCUCCAAUAGCGUAUAUUAAAGUUGUUGCGGUUAAAGCGUUCGUUGAAGUUUUGCCUCAUAUGAGUAGUACAACUAUAACUGUGGUAUGUACAUUACCUUAUGAAUGUAAGCGUAUUACCGGUGGAGUUCUUAUAUAUAAUUAAUAUAAUGUAUUUUUCCAAAAGUUUGGGUUCAAAACUACAAUUAAUUGAAAGAUGUUUUAAACUUUAAUUAUUAUAAAUAUAUAUAUACUUUUUUAAAAUUUAUUAUUGAUUAAUUUGUAUUCUUUCAAUAAAUUAAAAAUCCUUGACUUUGAAUCAAAAAAAUACAAAAAAUUAUUCCUCUAAGCAGUGGAUCACUCGGCUCAUAGGUCGAUAAAGAACGCAGCAAACUGUGCGUCAUCGUGUGAGCUGCAGGACACAUGAACAUCGACAUUUUGAACGCAUAUUGAGGUCCCUGCUGUUAUGUACAAUACUUUAAUUAACUUAAAAGUGCUGAUUGGACUAGAUUUCGUUUAGGGUUGUAAGACUAUGCUAAAUUAGUGGCUUAUUCUUUCGUCAAUUAACUUAAAUUCUGUUAAUUCCGGUUUUUUUAAAUGUUUAAAGGCUCAAGUUUUUCUGUUUUUCAAUUUAUGUAACUCUUUCGAAAACCUUGGACUUCUACUUUUAUUCAAAUUAAUUGGCUUUUAGCUUAUUAACAUAGAAUAAUUACUGAUGAUUUGAUAAAGUUUUGAGAGAUUUUAUUAUAUUAUAUAAUAUAUUGAUAAACUGUUGAGUAUCAAGUGCUUUGAAUAUCAUGAAAUUGAAACUGAACGAAUUCUAAGUAAUGGUGACAUUGAAAAGGUUUUAGUACAGGAUCAUUCAUAUAAAAGAGAA